GACGGGGCCCGCACAAGCGGUGGAGUAUGUGGUUUAAUUCGAUGCAACGCGAAGAACCUUACCUGGUCUUGACAUCCCGGAGACCCUUAGGAAACUAGGGGGUGCUUCCAUCUGGAAGAAUCUGGAGACAGGUGCUGCAUGGCUGUCGUCAGCUCGUGUCGUGAGAUGUUGGGUUAAGUCCCGCAACGAGCGCAACCCUUGCCUUUAGUUGCCAGCAGUUCGGCUGGGCACUCUAAAGGGACUGCCGGUGUUAAACCGGAGGAAGGUGGGGAUGACGUCAAGUCCUCAUGGCCUUUAUGACCAGGGCUACACACGUACUACAAUGGCCGAUACAAAGGGCAGCGACACUGCGAGGUGAAGCCAAUCCCGUAAAAUCGGUCUCAGUCCGGAUUGGAGUCUGCAACUCGACUCCAUGAAGUUGGAAUCGCUAGUAAUCGUGGAUCGGCAUGCCACGGUGAAUACGUUCCCGGGCCUU
This 475-nucleotide ribosomal RNA is filed under the name uncultured Desulfobulbus sp. RNAcentral's name for it is "bacterial SSU rRNA". It matches the Rfam family "Bacterial small subunit ribosomal RNA", at positions 916 to 1381 of the family's 1533-position model. The record is from RNAcentral. Lineage: Bacteria; Pseudomonadati; Thermodesulfobacteriota; Desulfobulbia; Desulfobulbales; Desulfobulbaceae.